Molecule: ribosomal RNA, 222 nt
Filed under: Pseudomonas aeruginosa
Lineage: Bacteria; Pseudomonadati; Pseudomonadota; Gammaproteobacteria; Pseudomonadales; Pseudomonadaceae
Description: partial 16S ribosomal RNA
Rfam family: Bacterial small subunit ribosomal RNA
Source: RNAcentral
GAACUGAAGAGUUUGAUCAUGGCUCAGAUUGAACGCUGGCGGCAGGCCUAACACAUGCAAGUCGAGCGGAUGAAGGGAGCUUGCUCCUGGAUUCAGCGGCGGACGGGUGAGUAAUGCCUAGGAAUCUGCCUGGUAGUGGGGGAUAACGUCCGGAAACGGGCGCUAAUACCGCAUACGUCCUGAGGGAGAAAGUGGGGGAUCUUCGGACCUCACGCUAUCAGA